This 494-nucleotide ribosomal RNA is filed under the name uncultured bacterium. Its description in RNAcentral is "partial 16S ribosomal RNA". It matches the Rfam family "Bacterial small subunit ribosomal RNA", at positions 28 to 506 of the family's 1533-position model. The record is from RNAcentral.
GACGAACGCUGGCGGCGUGCCUAAUACAUGCAAGUAGAACGCUGAAGGAGGAGCUUGCUUCUCUGGAUGAGUUGCGAACGGGUGAGUAACGCGUAGGUAACCUGCCUGGUAGCGGGGGAUAACUAUUGGAAACGAUAGCUAAUACCGCAUAAGAGUAGAUGUUGCAUGACAUUUACUUAAAAGGUGCAAUUGCAUCACUACCAGAUGGACCUGCGUUGUAUUAGCUAGUUGGUGAGGUAACGGCUCACCAAGGCAACGAUACAUAGCCGACCUGAGAGGGUGAUCGGCCACACUGGGACUGAGACACGGCCCAGACUCCUACGGGAGGCAGCAGUAGGGAAUCUUCGGCAAUGGACGGAAGUCUGACCGAGCAACGCCGCGUGAGUGAAGAAGGUUUUCGGAUCGUAAAGCUCUGUUGUAAGAGAAGAACGAGUGUGAGAGUGGAAAGUUCACACUGUGACGGUAUCUUACCAGAAAGGGACGGCUAACUACGU